This is a long non-coding RNA of Vicia villosa (hairy vetch), 286 nucleotides long. RefSeq lists it as uncharacterized. NCBI's taxonomy places the organism in Eukaryota, Viridiplantae, Streptophyta, Magnoliopsida, Fabales, Fabaceae. The record is from RefSeq and is a predicted model, not a curated record. The transcript has 3 exons.
CAGUACCGUUGGUUACAAACCAAACGUCUUAUCCACCACUCUCUCACAUCUCAUUGCCACCAAUUCUUUGCAAUUCAACAUUCCUUUUAUUCCAAUCCGAGAAAGGUUGAAAGAUAAAUUAGACGAGUUUUUCAAAUGUCAGUUUGAGCUCUUUAUCGAAUUCACAGGUUUAAUCAGUUGGAGUAGAGGAGCAAGCAUUGGAUGGCAUAAUGAUGAUAACCGGCCUUACCUUAAACAACGACAUUUUUCGGCUAGUGUUACUCAGUUAAACUCUCCUUAGACCACA